UGGUGGUGUAGGUGUAGCGGUGGAGGAGGAAGAUAAGGUAGCCAACACUGUAUGUAUAUAUAUAUAUAUAUAUAUAUAUAUAUUUAUUUAUAAUUGGGGUAGCCCCCAAAAUAUUGGGACAUGUAAAAAAAGACAACUCUGUUCCGCAGAGUAGCUGUUGACAUUAUAGUUGCGCAGGCACUUUGUUGACUCUAGAGUACCUCGGGCCAAUCGCACAUCACCGUGACGGCGACUUUGCAUUCGGAUGUCAUCCAUAUCAACUUUCGAUGCCAGUUUCUGCACCUACCAUGGUGACCACAGGUAACGGGGAAUCAGGGUUCCAUUUCGUACAGGGACCCUGAGAAACGGCUACCACAUGCAAUGAAGGCAGCAGGCGCGCAAAUGACCCACUCCCGAAGCGGGAAAGUAGUGACGACAAAUAACAAAUAACAAUACAGGACUCUUUAGAGGCCCUGUAAUUGUAAUGAGUCCACUUGAAAUCCUUUAACUCUGAUCAAUUGGAGGGUGUCAGGAUCGUGACAGGGAUCCAACA
This 532-nucleotide ribosomal RNA is filed under the name Pelobates cultripes (western spadefoot toad). It matches the Rfam family "Eukaryotic small subunit ribosomal RNA", at positions 110 to 596 of the family's 1831-position model. Lineage: Eukaryota; Metazoa; Chordata; Amphibia; Anura; Pelobatidae. The record is from RNAcentral.